GCCCCCGUAGCCCAACGGCAGAGGCAGACCUCUUAAACAGGUUUCAGUGUGGGUUCGAGUCCCACCGGGGGUA
Molecule: transfer RNA, 73 nt
Filed under: uncultured Pseudonocardia sp.
Lineage: Bacteria; Bacillati; Actinomycetota; Actinomycetes; Pseudonocardiales; Pseudonocardiaceae
Rfam family: tRNA
About the family: Transfer RNA (tRNA) molecules are approximately 80 nucleotides in length. Their secondary structure includes four short double-helical elements and three loops (D, anti-codon, and T loops).
Source: RNAcentral